This is a long non-coding RNA of Oenanthe melanoleuca, 232 nucleotides long. RefSeq lists it as uncharacterized. The record is from RefSeq and is a predicted model, not a curated record. The transcript has 3 exons. Lineage: Eukaryota; Metazoa; Chordata; Aves; Passeriformes; Muscicapidae.
GUACUGGGAGUACUGGGAAUGGCGCUGAGCCCGCCCCAGACAGCGGGGCUGAGCCCCAGCAGGCAGGGCCCGCUGAGCGGCACGUGCAGCAGGAAGACGCUUUUCUAUCUCAUCGCCACCCUGAACGAGGCGUUCCGGCCCGACUACGACUUCAGCGCCGCCAAGAGCCACGAGUUCAGCCGGGAGCCCAGCCUCAACUGGGUGGUGAACUCGGUGAACUGCAGCCUGUUCC